GUUGUAUGGUUAAGUGACUAAGCGUACACGGUGGAUGCCUUGGCAGUCAGAGGCGAUGAAAGACGUAGUAACUUGCGAUAAGCCCAGAUUAGGUAGUAACAACCAUUUGAGUCUGGGAUUUCUGAAUGGGGAAACCCACGUGCAUAAGCACGUAUCCUUACCUGAAUACAUAGGGUAAGGAGGCGAACCGGGGGAACUGAAACAUCUAAGUACCCCGAGGAAAAGAAAUCAACCGAGAUUCCGAAAGUAGCGGCGAGCGAAAUUGGACUAGCCCUUAAGCUUUACACGCGUUAGACGAACGGUCUGGAAAGUCCGACGAUACAGGGUGAUAGUCCCGUAGUUGACGACGUGUGUUCAGUGAAAUCGAGUAGGGCGGGACACGUGAUAUCCUGUCUGAAUAUGGGGGGACCAUCCUCCAAGGCUAAAUACUACUGACUGACCGAUAGUGAACCAGUACCGUGAGGGAAAGGCGAAAAGAACCCCUGUGAGGGGAGUGAAAUAGAACCUGAAACCGUGUACGUACAAGCAGUAGGAGCAGGCUUGUCCUGUGACUGCGUACCUUUUGUAUAAUGGGUCAGCGACUUAUAUUCAGUGGCAAGGUUAACCAUCUAGGGGAGCCGUAGGGAAACCGAGUCUUAACUGGGCGUUCAGUCUCUGGAUAUAGACCCGAAACCAGGUGAUCUAGCCAUGGGCAGGUUGAAGGUUGAGUAACAUCAACUGGAGGACCGAACCGACUAAUGUUGAAAAAUUAGCGGAUGACUUGUGGCUAGGGGUGAAAGGCCAAUCAAACCUGGAGAUAGCUGGUUCUCCCCGAAAGCUAUUUAGGUAGCGCCUCGGACGAAUACUACUGGGGGUAGAGCACUGUUAAGGCUAGGGGGUCAUCCCGACUUACCAACCCUUUGCAAACUCCGAAUACCAGUAAGUACUAUCCGGGAGACACACGGCGGGUGCUAACGUCCGUCGUGGAGAGGGAAACAACCCAGACCGCCAGCUAAGGUCCCAAAUUACUACUAAGUGGGAAACGAUGUGGGAAGGCUCAGACAGCCAGGAUGUUGGCUUAGAAGCAGCCAUCAUUUAAAGAAAGCGUAAUAGCUCACUGGUCGAGUCGGCCUGCGCGGAAGAUGUAACGGGGCUAAGUAGUAAACCGAAGCUGCGGCAAUGUGCUUUUGCACAUUGGGUAGGGGAGCGUUCUGUAAGCGGUUGAAGGUGUGUGGUAACGCAUGCUGGACGUAUCAGAAGUGCGAAUGCUGACAUGAGUAACGAUAAAGGGGGUGAAAAACCUCCUCGCCGGAAGACCAAGGGUUCCUGUCCAACGUUAAUCGGGGCAGGGUAAGUCGACCCCUAAGGCGAGGCCGAAAGGCGUAGUCGAUGGGAAACGGGUUAAUAUUCCCGUACUUCUUACAAUUGCGAUGGGGGGACGGAGAAGGCUAGGUGGGCCUGGCGACGGUUGUCCAGGUUCAAGUGCGUAGGCUUAAGAGUUAGGUAAAUCCGGCUCUUUCUAAGGCUGAGACACGACGUCGAGCACCUACGGGUGUGAAGUCAUUGAUGCCAUGCUUCCAGGAAAAGCCUCUAAGCUUCAGAUUGUAAGGAAUCGUACCCCAAACCGACACAGGUGGUCGGGUAGAGAAUACCAAGGCGCUUGAGAGAACUCGGGUGAAGGAACUAGGCAAAAUGGUACCGUAACUUCGGGAGAAGGUACGCUCUUGAUGGUGAAGUCCCUCGCGGAUGGAGCUGACGAGAGUCGCAGAUACCAGGUGGCUGCAACUGUUUAUUAAAAACACAGCACUGUGCAAAAUCGUAAGAUGACGUAUACGGUGUGACGCCUGCCCGGUGCCGGAAGGUUAAUUGAUGGGGUUAGACUUCGGUCGAAGCUCUUGAUCGAAGCCCCGGUAAACGGCGGCCGUAACUAUAACGGUCCUAAGGUAGCGAAAUUCCUUGUCGGGUAAGUUCCGACCUGCACGAAUGGCGUAAUGAUGGCCACGCUGUCUCCACCCGAGACUCAGUGAAAUUGAAAUCGCUGUGAAGAUGCAGUGUACCCGCGGCUAGACGGAAAGACCCCGUGAACCUUUACUACAGCUUGGCACUGAACAUUGACCCUACAUGUGUAGGAUAGGUGGGAGGCUUUGAAGCACGUACGCCAGUAUGUGUGGAGCCGUCCUUGAAAUACCACCCUUGUAGUGUUGAUGUUCUAACGUCGACCCCUUAUCGGGGUUGCGGACAGUGCCUGGUGGGUAGUUUGACUGGGGCGGUCUCCUCCCAAAGAGUAACGGAGGAGCACGAAGGUGGGCUAAUCACGGUUGGACAUCGUGAGGUUAGUGCAAUGGCAUAAGCCCGCUUGACUGCGAGAAUGACAAUUCGAGCAGGUGCGAAAGCAGGUCAUAGUGAUCCGGUGGUUCUGAAUGGAAGGGCCAUCGCUCAACGGAUAAAAGGUACUCCGGGGAUAACAGGCUGAUACCGCCCAAGAGUUCAUAUCGACGGCGGUGUUUGGCACCUCGAUGUCGGCUCAUCACAUCCUGGGGCUGAAGUCGGUCCCAAGGGUAUGGCUGUUCGCCAUUUAAAGUGGUACGCGAGCUGGGUUUAGAACGUCGUGAGACAGUUCGGUCCCUAUCUGCCGUGGGCGUUGGAAGAUUGAAGGGGGCUGCUCCUAGUACGAGAGGACCGGAGUGGACGAACCUCUGGUGUUCGGGUUGUGUCGCCAGACGCAUUGCCCGGUAGCUAAGUUCGGAAUCGAUAACCGCUGAAAGCAUCUAAGCGGGAAGCGAGCCCUGAGAUGAGUCUUCCCUGAUACUUUAAGUAUCCUAAAGGGUUGUCGGAGACUACGACGUUGAUAGGUCAGGUGUGUAAGUGCUGUGAGGCAUUGAGCUAACUGAUACUAAUUGCCCGUGAGGCUUAACCAUACAACACCCAAGGGGUUU
This 2915-nucleotide ribosomal RNA is filed under the name Vibrio parahaemolyticus. RNAcentral's name for it is "bacterial LSU rRNA". It matches the Rfam family "Bacterial large subunit ribosomal RNA". The record is from RNAcentral. Lineage: Bacteria; Pseudomonadati; Pseudomonadota; Gammaproteobacteria; Vibrionales; Vibrionaceae.